UGCUACUGUAACUGGCGUUAGCACAAUAACUAGACUUCUAUGGCAACGUUUAGCAUGCUAGCUUUAACCAUAGGCAUCCAGUCAGUAGUUAUCAUUGGCUCGCAAAACCACCUCCGCCUUCCUUCAUACUGGAUGCAGAGAUAUAAAAAUGGGAUCAACAAGGUCAUCUGAUUCCAGCUCUCAUACUUAGGUGUGAAAAUGAAUAUGAAUAUGGAGAGAACACCACCAACGACAAACAGCAGAGGAACAGUACACAACUGGAAAGAAAGAAACACAAACAUACAAACGUAUGACCAGAUGGAGUGUGGGGUUCUAAUAGCUGGGUUCUAAUGUUCUUUACCCUGUCAGAGGAAUUGUAGAUGUGGCCCAUAGAUCCAUAUAUGGGCGUAUCGUUGUUUCUCAAACCAUUAAUACGUCUCAAUGACUCAGCCAGCUCAUUGGGAUCAAUGGAGUGAUCCUCAUCACCAUUCUUUCAUCACAGGAGAAGCAUGCAAACGGAAAAGAUAAACAAACAAACAAACAAAGCACUAAAAUGAUUAUGAGAAUCAUGCAAUAUAGAGGAAUUCACUGUGGAUAUGCCUGAAACACUGUGGACAUGCCUGAAACGCCGUGGACAUGCCUGAACCACUGUGGACAUGCCUGAAACACUGUGGACAUGCCUGAAACGCCGUGGACAUGCCUGAACCACUGUGGACAUGCCUGAAACACUGUGGACAUGCCUGAAACGCGCUAUGCAUACGCCUGAAACCCUGUGGAUAUGCCUGGAACGCUGUGGACAUGCCUGAAAUGCUGUGGACAUGACUGAAACCCUGUGGAUAUGCCAGAAACACAUGAAAAUAGACAAGAACAUCAAACAAGAAGGUGAAUCAAAACAAAUGUUGUGCCAUGCUUUAAGAAACUGGGCGAGGUGAAAUUGAACAUAACAUAAUUGUUUUGUGUGUGUGUGUUGGUAUUUGACUUCUCGAUAAGUUGGUUACCACAAGUUCGUUAGAGAAAGGCUGAGGCCUGCAUGUUUGAAUUGACAAUGACCCAUAUCCACUUACUACACUUCAGAGUGACUUUUUCCUCCUCUUGGUAACAAGCAGUGUUCAUUCAUCUUUAUCUCAUCGUGUUCUAUCUCAAUUUCCCUCCAUCUCUUUGAUUUGAUUGGCCUGAGUAUUCCCUUGGUAAAAUCCACACAGUAUAAAGAAAAUGGACUCCUCCCCUGGUACAGAGAGAGGCAGUCUUUUUUUGUAUGUCUCCAUUUUAUAUUAAUGGAUGAGGGAUAGGAAGAAACACAGACAUCAGCCAAAUGUUCAGACACUGACCCGUUCUGUCCUUCAGGAAGCUUUGUAGUAAACAUGUCGAAGUAAACAUUGGAAGUUUUAUCCUUGGUGCACGCCAGGUUGGUGUAGCAACAGUAUAUGGCCACAGGGGUGCAGUGUUGACUGGAUGGAUGGUAGAACGUUGCACCUGUUGGGGAAGUUGCUUUGCUGGUGUGCCUCAACUUUUCUUUGUGUCAAACAAGGCCAUGUUGUUUUGCCUAGUCCGAAUACAAAUAUUAUGCAAAUGUUC
Molecule: long non-coding RNA, 1554 nt
Organism: Oncorhynchus masou masou (cherry salmon)
Lineage: Eukaryota; Metazoa; Chordata; Actinopteri; Salmoniformes; Salmonidae
Exons: 2
Source: RefSeq, a predicted model, not a curated record